RNAcentral lists this unclassified non-coding RNA (337 nucleotides) under soil metagenome. Its description in RNAcentral is "partial contains 5.8S ribosomal RNA, internal transcribed spacer 2, and large subunit ribosomal RNA". The stretch from base 1 to 120 matches the Rfam family "5.8S ribosomal RNA", at positions 35 to 154 of the family's 154-position model. The record is from RNAcentral.
GAUGAAGAACGUAGCGAAAUGCGAUAAGUAGUGUGAAUUGCAGAAUUCAGUGAAUCAUCGAAUCUUUGAACGCACAUUGCGCCCCUUGGUAUUCCAUGGGGCAUGCCUGUUCGAGCGUCAUUUGUACCUUCAAGCUCUGCUUGGUGUUGGGUGUUUGUCUCGCCUCCGCGUGUAGACUCGCCUCAAAACGAUUGGCAGCCGGCGUAUUGAUUUCGGAGCGCAGUACAUCUCGCGCUUUGCACUCACAACGACGGCGUCCAGAAGUACAUUUUUACACUCUUGACCUCGGAUCAGGUAGGGAUACCCGCUGAACUUAAGCAUAUCAAUAAGCGGAGGA